CGGAGAUGGGCACUGAGACAAGGGCCCAGGCCCUACGGGGCGCAGCAGUCGCGCAAACUUUGCAAUACACGAAAGUGUGACAGGGCUAUCCCGAGUGCCGUCCGCUGAGGAUGGCUUUUACCCAGUCUAGAAAGCUGGGGGAAUAAGGAGAGGGCAAGUCUGGUGUCAGCCGCCGCGGUAAUACCAGCUCUCCGAGUGGUGUGGAUGUUUAUUGGGCCUAAAGCAUCCGUAGCUGGCCAGGUUAGUCCCCUGUUAAACCCACCGAAUUAAUCGUUGGAUUGCGGGGGAUACUGCCAGGCUAGGGGACGAGAGAGGCAGACGGUAUUUUCGGGGUAGGGGUGAAAUCCUAUAAUCCCGGGAAGACCACCAGUGGCGAAGGCUGUCUGCUAGAACGCGCCCGACGGUGAGGGAUGAAAGCUGGGGGAGCGAACCGGAUUAGAUACCCGGGUAGUCCCAGCUGUAAACGAUGCAGGCUAGGUGUUUGGGCGGCCACGUGCCGCUCUAGUGCCGCAGGGAAGCUGUUAAGCCUGCCGCCUGGGGAGUACGGUCGCAAGAUUGAAACUUAAAGGAAUUGGCGGGGGAGCACCACAAGGGGUGAAGCUUGCGGUUUAAUUGGAUUCA
This 621-nucleotide ribosomal RNA is filed under the name uncultured archaeon. Its description in RNAcentral is "bacterial SSU rRNA". It matches the Rfam family "Archaeal small subunit ribosomal RNA", at positions 291 to 914 of the family's 1478-position model. The record is from RNAcentral.